CCUACGGGCGGCAGCAGUGAGGAAUAUUGGUCAAUGGGCGAGAGCCUGAACCAGCCAAGUCGCGUGAGGGAGUACUGCCCUAUGGGUUGUAAACCUCUUUUGUCUGGGAGCAAAAGCCGGACGUGUCCGGCUGUGAGAGUACCCGAAGAAAAAGCAUCGGCUAACUCCGUGCCAGCAGCCGCGGUAAUACGGAGGAUGCGAGCGUUAUCCGGAUUUAUUGGGUUUAAAGGGUGCGCAGGCGGAUUUUUAAGUCAGCGGUAAAAUCGUGGGGCUCAACCCCAUCCAGCCGUUGAAACUGGGGAUCUAGAGUGUGCGAGAGGUAUGCGGAAUGCGUGGUGUAGCGGUGAAAUGCAUAGAUAUCACGCAGAACCCCGAUUGCGAAGGCAGCAUACCGGUGCACAACUGACGCUCAGGCACGAAAGCGUGGGUAUCGAACAGGAUUAGAUACCCGGGUAGUC
RNAcentral lists this ribosomal RNA (458 nucleotides) under uncultured bacterium. Its description in RNAcentral is "partial 16S ribosomal RNA". It matches the Rfam family "Bacterial small subunit ribosomal RNA", at positions 338 to 795 of the family's 1533-position model. The record is from RNAcentral.